This 253-nucleotide ribosomal RNA is filed under the name uncultured bacterium. Its description in RNAcentral is "partial 16S ribosomal RNA". It matches the Rfam family "Bacterial small subunit ribosomal RNA", at positions 524 to 776 of the family's 1533-position model. The record is from RNAcentral.
UACGGGGGGGGUAAGCGUUGUUCGGAAUUACUGGGCGUAAAGGGCGCGUAGGCGGCACGGCAAGUCAGGAGUGAAAGCCCUGGGCUCAACCCAGAAACUGCUUUUGAAACUGCCGAGCUAGAGUGCGGAAGGGGCAACUGGAAUUCCCAGUGUAGCGGUGAAAUGCGUAGAUAUUGGGAAGAACACCUGAGGCGAAGGCGGGUUGCUGGGCCGACACUGACGCUGAGGCGCGAAAGCCAGGGGAGCGAACGGG